UACGUAGGGUGCGAGCGUUGUCCGGAAUUAUUGGGCGUAAAGGGCUCGUAGGCGGUUUGUCACGUCGGGAGUGAAAACUCAGGGCUUAACCCUGAGCCUGCUUCCGAUACGGGCAGACUAGAGGUAUGCAGGGGAGAAUGGAAUUCCUGGUGUAGCGGUGAAAUGCGCAGAGAUGUGGAGGAACACCAAUGGCGAAGGCAGCCUUCUGGGCCAACACUGACGCUCAUGCACGAAAGCGUGGGGAGCAAACAGG
RNAcentral lists this ribosomal RNA (253 nucleotides) under uncultured bacterium. RNAcentral describes it as "partial 16S ribosomal RNA". It matches the Rfam family "Bacterial small subunit ribosomal RNA", at positions 524 to 776 of the family's 1533-position model. The record is from RNAcentral.